This 3860-nucleotide long non-coding RNA is filed under the name Phascolarctos cinereus (koala). RNAcentral's name for it is "lncRNA (ENSPCIG00000032950.1)". Lineage: Eukaryota; Metazoa; Chordata; Mammalia; Diprotodontia; Phascolarctidae. The record is from RNAcentral.
GGAAUUUGGAAUCUGAGGGUCCAGACUUGGUUCUGGCUCUGCCAAUGACAAUCUGGGGGACCUUGGUCACUUGACUUCUGUAAAAUGAGGAGGUGGGACCAAAUGACUUCUACUAUUCCUUGCAGCUCUAAGCCUUCACUCUAGAGUCAGGAGUUUUUAUUUAUUUUUCAUAUUUUUUUAGGACAGAGAAGACACGAACAUAUUAUAGGCAGAGGGAAAGGAAUUAGUAAGAAGGAAGAAAUUGGAGAUAAGGUGAUGGGGUAGGGUUGGGGAGUAGAAGCAAUGACAGAUGAAGCAAGGGCUCAGAUGGGAAAGUCUGGAAUCAGGAGCAGCAUGCAGAGUUAGCCUUAGCCAGGAAGAGAGCUACCUCCUAAGAGUGAAAGAGAAAAGGAUAGUCAGGUCAGAAGAUUACCUUUUCUAGCCUAUUGUGAAGACAAUAGGCCCUAGUUCAAGGCCUUGCCCAUAGGAGACACUUAGUAAAUGUCUGUUGACUCCAGCCAAAGUAUGGAACAGAGGAAAAGAGAGAGAUAGAUGGCGGAUGUCUUCAGUGUCCUCAGUAAAGUGAGAGAUGGAUCAUUUGCUAAAAAAGGAGGCUGCUACUGUCCCAGGAGUGGUCAUUACUACUGACCUGUCCAGCUUCUCAAGGAUUAUGAUAGGGCAAGAAAGAAGAGUGAAGCGACUGCCUCCACACAUAUGGCCCAGGAAGAGAUCUUCUCCACAUGACUUUGCCAACCACCAAUUCUCCUGCCCCUCAUCCAUUUCUCUAAUCAUUUGGAACUUCAUUAGUCUCAUGGAGGGCCCCUCAACUGCAAAUCAGAGGCACAAUGGUGGGAGUCAGAAGACUGGGGACAGAGGAGAGAUGUUUAUGGCAACCAUGACAGCAGAACUCCUUGGACCUAGCAGCAGACUUUCCAAACUUCAAAUUAAAAAAAAAAAAGACACCCUGGAAUGCUUAAGUGGAAAAGAUGCAAGACAUCAGGCAGGGUAUGUGCAUUCACAGCACAACAUGAAGGAAGACUUUACAAUUAACCAGUAACUGGAGCUGGGAUGACAGGCAAGGCUACCCUACACCCCCUCCCACACCCAAUCAUAAUGGGAAAAAAAAAUUACUUAUUGGUAAUGUUAAACUAUUUGUAUUAAAGCAUCCAAAUUAAAUAAUGACUAAAACUUUCCUUCACAUGUAACUGUAUAUAUAUUUCUUUAAUCACUAGUUGUUUUUUGUGUUUGUGUGUGGUUUAUUUUAGAGAAGUCAGCUAAAGGUUUCAAAACACCUACAUCCUAAUGCACUGUCAAAACUAAGAGAUUAAGGGAGGCCACUAUUUUAAGCAGUUUGGAGGCAGAUGACAGCAGGAGGCCCCCAGGCAAUAUCUGAUAGCAAAGUGUGAUGGCACUGAGGGAAAGUCUGAAAGUGCAGUGGGCCCUAACGUAAGGUCAGUAUACUUGCAAAGCUGGAAGACACCUUUAAAAAACAAAACUAAAAAAAUUUUCCACCAAAAAUUUGGAGUUUUGACUUUGGUCAUGUUUUUGAUGUACAAGAACUGUACACUAUGGACUUUGGGCAGAGACAUUUACAAAACACUUAGCAUGACCAAGCGAGAAGAUACAUGACCAGCGUGGAGACCAAGACCGUCUGAUGUGUUAGCCAUCACCCAUGCAUGCUUAGUGAUUGCCCCCUGCUCCAGAGGUGACCCGUACAAUCAGCAUCCCCAUCAGCAGCUAACAUCCAAUGACAUCAGCCCUCUCUGUAGCCAAACCAGCAAGAAAAUGUCCUCUCCCUGGCAAUCACCUUCCUUCUGCCUUCUGAGAGCUACCAUCCACUGAAGACACAGUGAAGUAACAAGGUUAAUGACCAUCACAAAGCUUGGGGCAGCAUCAUUUCUAUUGGCUUGUACUGGCACCGACCAAAAUAGAAAAUGAAGUUUACCCACACUCAAACCUCACUAAUACUGCCUGUUUUUUUAAAACGCCAUUAGAGAUUUGAUUCUGCCCUUCCUAAUGACCAACCAAUGACCCUAGGCACCACAACUGAGGCCUUCCAGGAUCAAUGUCUGGACCUAAACCCCUCUCUAGGAAGGACAUUUGGGCUUGGGUAGGGCUGGGACAUGGGGUUUUCAUGAAGCCACUCACCAAUCCUCACUAACACUUAUGCACAAAGGUGCAGUCCUGGGAGCUGUUUCAGAAUUGGUACAUUAUGUCCCUGAGUUGUGUAAACAGCUCAGCAGAGGAAUGGAUCAUGAUGCCAGGCACAGAUUCCAACACCAGGAGAAGAAAAGGUGUUAGACACGCAAGAGUGGUGGGAAAGGAAGACAUGCAGAACAGGGGACUGGAAGAGGAUGUUACGUGGCUAUCCCCCCACUUUGUCAUGGAAACCUGGGAUGCAGCAGGGACAAACCCAGAGAGUUGGCUACUCCAGUUCCAGCCCAGAUAACACACACUGCCUGCUCCUCCUCCAUGCCAUGAAGGUUUUAUCUUAAAGUUGGCUGGAGAAGGCAAUGUGCAGGAGUAAAGGUGGAAAAGGAGGGAAGAGUUAAUUAUAAAAAGUCAUGAAAGACUUUGGUUUUGGUUUUUUUUAAGCACAAUAUAAUGAAUGAAUACUCUAUCUACAAAGCAAAUUAACUGCAGAUAGUGAUUCAGAACAGUAUAAGGCUUUUGAAAAUUAAACAGUGAAAAAGAUCAAUAUUUUAUGUUUUUGCUUUUUAAAAAAGUAUAUCCUAUGUAAUGGCAAAGAGUUUUAAAAUGAGCUGACAGGUUUCUGAACCACAUUAUGAAAAAUAUCCAAGAGCUGAAUCUUACAUCUAAUUUAAGAAAACUUAAAACACCUAAAACUACUAAAACUUACCCCCCCAAAAAAAAAGGAAUGAAAAAUUCCCCAGUUGGUUGAUAAAUGUGAGGGUUUAAGUAGCAAUCUGCUUCCCUUUAGAAAAAGGGUAAAGAAAAUCUGAAGUGGGCAGCAGUGACAAGGUAGGAUAUACAAGCAAGGCCGGAGCUCACUGUGUCUGACAGCCCAGAUCACGACCUUUGAUGGUAACAGUCCUCAGAUCAGCUAUUAGAGUUCAGUUCUAGUUUGAGUUCACUAAUGACAUGUUUGCAUCAAUGCGUGAAGGAAACACACUACCAACCAGAGUUUUCUGUUUCUUUCUAACAAGAGGAGGUUUUUCACUCCAAAAGUUAGUCUAGUUCCCUGGUUACUUACUUCCCUGAAAUGAAAUAUUGAAAGGUCCCUACUGUCCAUUUUCCCACCACCACAAGUCAUUCCUAAGGAAUAACAAUCUAUCCAUUCUUUCACUAUUUUAUUCCAGCCCUACCUAGCUCUAUGCUAACACCAUGAGAUCCUAACACAAACUGAGCCUGCUAAAAAGUAGAAGCAGCUUAGAUUUUCAGUGACCCAUAACCGAGUCAUCGUAAGGCACUAACUGAAACUUGGGCAGGAAAAAUGCCCAAACCAUAUAAGAGUAUCAUCCUGGUGAUUUUCUUUCCCCAUCUCCAUUCAAUGAGCACUAGAGAUGAAACUGAACAAAAAAAGAUUUUUUUUUUUUAACCUAAACAUGGUCAGGAUCAAGAAGCAUGGCCAGCAAGCAUGACAACAAUUCAAGCACUUAAAAUCACGAAAAGCCUGGGAGGAGCACUGAGCAGUUCUGCUCCACCCCAAAGGUGUGGGACUACUGGAGUUCUUCUGGAGAGUCCAUGUUACUUUAGAUUUUAAAACAAGGUCAUUUCUUAGUUCCAUGAUAUGAUCCUUCAGAAGCCAUUGGUUAGAAUUCAGACAUGGCAGUAAUGAUUAGUUAGGGUUACUUGGCACAUUGGUGGCAAAAGAUUAAUUUUCUUUUCUUUAAAAAUAAAUGUAAUCCAAAAUCAGGACA